RNAcentral lists this ribosomal RNA (346 nucleotides) under bacterium enrichment culture clone ALO1_GLFRUDD03F9NDM. Its description in RNAcentral is "bacterial SSU rRNA". It matches the Rfam family "Bacterial small subunit ribosomal RNA", at positions 9 to 355 of the family's 1533-position model. The record is from RNAcentral.
GAGUUUGAUCCUGGCUCAGAUUGAACGCUGGCGGCAUGCCUUACACAUGCAAGUCGAACGGCAGCACGGGAGCUUGCUCCUGGUGGCGAGUGGCGAACGGGUGAGUAAUGCAUCGGAACGUAUCCUGGAGUGGGGGAUAACGUAGCGAAAGUUACGCUAAUACCGCAUAUUCUGUGAGCAGGAAAGCGGGGGACCUUCGGGCCUCGCGCUCUUGGAGCGGCCGAUGUCGGAUUAGCUAGUUGGUGAGGUAAAGGCUCACCAAGGCGACGAUCCGUAGCAGGUCUGAGAGGAUGAUCUGCCACACUGGAACUGAGACACGGUCCAGACUCCUACGGGAGGCAGCAGU